UUGAUAGUACCCUUACUACUUGGAUAACCCGUGGUAAUUCUAGAGCUAAUACAUGCUAAAAACCCCAACUUCGGGAGGGGUGUAUUUAUUAGAUAAAAAACCAAUGCCCUUCGGGGCUCCUUGGUGAUUCAUGAUAACUUCUCAGAUCGCAUGGCUUUACGCCGGCGACGGUUCAUUCAAAUUUCUGCCCUAUCAACUUUCGAUGGUAAGGUAUUGGCUUACCAUGGUUUCAACGGGUAACGGGGAAUUAGGGUUCGAUUCCGGAGAGGGAGCCUGAGAAACGGCUACCACAUCCAAGGAAGGCAGCAGGCGCGCAAAUUACCCAAUUCCGAUACGGAGAGGUAGUGACAAUAAAUACUGAUACAGGGCUCUUUUGGGUCUUGUAAUUGGAAUGAGUACAAUUUAAACCUCUUAACGAGGAACAAUUGGAGGGCAAGUCUGGUGCCAGCAGCCGCGGUAAUUCCAGCUCCAAUAGCGUAUAUUAAAGUUGUUGCAGUUAAAAAGCUCGUAGUUGAACCUUUGGCCUGGCUGGCAGGUCCGCCUCACCGCGUGCACUUGUCCGGCCGGGCCUUUUCUUCUGGAGAACCGCAUGCCCUUCACUGGGUGUGUUGGGGACCAGGACUUUUACUUUGAAAAAAUUAGAGUGUUCAAAGCAGGCCUUUGCUCGAAUACGUUAGCAUGGAAUAAUAGAAUAGGACGUGCGGUCCUAUUUUGUUGGUUUCUAGGACCGCCGUAAUGAUUAAUAGGGACAGUCGGGGGCAUCAGUAUUCAAUUGUCAGAGGUGAAAUUCUUGGAUUUAUUGAAGACUAACUACUGCGAAAGCAUUUGCCAAGGAUGUUUUCAUUAAUCAGUGAACGAAAGUUAGGGGAUCGAAGACGAUCAGAUACCGUCGUAGUCUUAACCAUAAACUAUGCCGACUAGGGAUCGG
This 928-nucleotide ribosomal RNA is filed under the name Austropleospora keteleeriae. RNAcentral's name for it is "SSU rRNA". It matches the Rfam family "Eukaryotic small subunit ribosomal RNA", at positions 121 to 1056 of the family's 1831-position model. The record is from RNAcentral. Lineage: Eukaryota; Fungi; Ascomycota; Dothideomycetes; Pleosporales; Didymosphaeriaceae.